AUUGAACGCUGGCGGCAUGCCUUACACAUGCAAGUCGAACGGCAGCACGGGAGCAAUCCUGGUGGCGAGUGGCGAACGGGUGAGUAAAGUAUCGGAACGUGCCCAGUCGUGGGGGAUAACGUAGCGAAAGUUACGCUAAUACCGCAUACGAGCUAUGGAUGAAAGCGGGGGAUCGCAAGCCCUCGCGCGAUUGGAGCGGCCGAUAUCAGAUUAGGUAGUUGGUGGGGUAAAGGCUCACCAAGCCGACGAUCUGUAGCUGGUCUGAGAGGACGACCAGCCACACUUGGACUGAGACACGGCCCAGACUCCUACGGGAGGCAGCAGUGGGGAAUUUUGGACAAUGGGCGAAAGCCUGAUCCAGCCAUGCCGCGUGCAGGAUGAAGGCCUUCGGGUUGUAAACUGCUUUUGUACGGAACGAAAGGGUUUGGGCUAAUAAGCUGAGCUCAUGACGGUACCGUAAGAAUAAGCACCGGCUAACUACGUGCCAGCCGCCGCCGUAA
This 500-nucleotide ribosomal RNA is filed under the name uncultured bacterium. Its description in RNAcentral is "partial 16S ribosomal RNA". It matches the Rfam family "Bacterial small subunit ribosomal RNA", at positions 30 to 523 of the family's 1533-position model. The record is from RNAcentral.